AUCCAGCUAACGAGUCCUAAAUAUGACGAAACGAACUUCCUGGAU
Molecule: non-coding RNA, 45 nt
Organism: Schistosoma rodhaini
Lineage: Eukaryota; Metazoa; Platyhelminthes; Trematoda; Strigeidida; Schistosomatidae
Source: Rfam